RNAcentral lists this ribosomal RNA (446 nucleotides) under uncultured bacterium. Its description in RNAcentral is "partial 16S ribosomal RNA". It matches the Rfam family "Bacterial small subunit ribosomal RNA", at positions 338 to 795 of the family's 1533-position model. The record is from RNAcentral.
CCUACGGGUGGCAGCAGUCGAGAAUCAUUCACAAUGGGGGAAACCCUGAUGGUGCGACGCCGCGUGGGGGAAUGAAGGUCUUCGGAUUGUAAAUCCCUGUCAUGUGGGAGCAAAUUAAAAAGAUAGUACCACAAGAGGAAGAGACGGCUAACUCGGUGCCAGCAGACGCGGUAAUACAGAGGUCUCAAGCGUUGUUCGGAAUCACUGGGCGUAAAGCGUGCGUAGGCUGUUUCGUAAGUCGUGUGUGAAAGGGGCGGGCUCAACCCGCGGACGGCACAUGAUACUGCGAGACUAGAGUAAUGGAGGGGGAACCGGAAUUCUCGGUGUAGCAGUGAAAUGCGUAGAUAUCGAGAGGAACACUCGUGGCGAAGGCGGGUUCCUGGACAUUAACUGACGCUGAGGCACGAAGGCCAGGGGAGCGAAAGGGAUUAGAUACCCGAGUAGUC